This 75-nucleotide transfer RNA is filed under the name Caulerpa cupressoides. RNAcentral describes it as "tRNA-Glu". It matches the Rfam family "tRNA". From Rfam's summary of the family: Transfer RNA (tRNA) molecules are approximately 80 nucleotides in length. Their secondary structure includes four short double-helical elements and three loops (D, anti-codon, and T loops). The record is from RNAcentral. Lineage: Eukaryota; Viridiplantae; Chlorophyta; Ulvophyceae; Bryopsidales; Caulerpaceae.
UGCCCCUGUCGUCUAGAGGCCUAGGACCUCUCCCUUUCACGGAGGAAACGGGGAUUCGAAUUCCCCUGGGGGUAU